CAGUCGCCGCGGUAAUACGAAGGGUGCGAGCGUUAAUCGGAAUUACUGGGCGUAAAGCGUGCGUAGGCGGUGAGUUAAGUCUGCUGUGAAAUCCCCGGGCUCAACCUGGGAAUGGCAGUGGAUACUGGCUCGCUAGAGUGUGUCAGAGGAUGGUGGAAUUCUCGGUGUAGCGGUGAAAUGCGUAGAUAUGUGGAGGAACAUCAGUGGCGAAGGCAGCCACCUGGGCCAAUACUGACGCUGAUGCACGAAAGCGUGGGGAGCAAACAGGAUUAGAUACCCCUGUAGUCCCUGUCUCUUAUAC
This 301-nucleotide ribosomal RNA is filed under the name uncultured bacterium. Its description in RNAcentral is "partial 16S ribosomal RNA". It matches the Rfam family "Bacterial small subunit ribosomal RNA", at positions 509 to 807 of the family's 1533-position model. The record is from RNAcentral.